UGGCAAACUUGUCCGAACCGCAAGGUUCAUAUUUAUUUUUUGGAGUUUUAUCAUGGCACUGUCCAUCGAACAAAAAGCACAAAUCGUCAAAGAUUUCCAACGCAAAGAA
Non-coding RNA from Neisseria wadsworthii 9715, 109 nucleotides. The record is from Rfam. Lineage: Bacteria; Pseudomonadati; Pseudomonadota; Betaproteobacteria; Neisseriales; Neisseriaceae.